GGUCGACCCGGAGGAUGCCUAAGCCCGAGAAGGAUGUUAGAGGAAGCCAGAGCUCUCGAAAAAGAGGAGGAGAAUCGAGGGAUUCUCUUAAGCAAAGUGAAACCCCUGAAGGAGGAGAACGUGUUUAAAUAGACCCCAGGAUCCGAUGCAAUAAUGAUUGCGGAUCUCCUCUAGCCGGUCUGCAUUCGCCGUGUGUCCCACCCACCUUGACAGACUGUUGGAAACGGCAGGCAGCUAACAAAGUCAUUAUCACGCC
Molecule: long non-coding RNA, 256 nt
Filed under: Elaeis guineensis (African oil palm)
Lineage: Eukaryota; Viridiplantae; Streptophyta; Magnoliopsida; Arecales; Arecaceae
Description: long non-coding RNA (EGUI_LNC042365)
Source: RNAcentral